Molecule: long non-coding RNA, 576 nt
Filed under: Mytilus galloprovincialis (Mediterranean mussel)
Lineage: Eukaryota; Metazoa; Mollusca; Bivalvia; Mytilida; Mytilidae
Source: RNAcentral
GUGGGUAUCAAUUUUCGUGGAUGGAGAAAAAAAGACGUUUCGUGGUAUACGUAAAUUCGUGGAUCGCUGAUUACAAAAAAAAAUCAGAUACGUAAUUCGUGGAAUUCUUUUUGAUUUACGAGAUCAUAUAACCUCCUUGGUUUGAUCAAUAAUAAAACAAACAAAAAAGAAGGAAUUCAUUGAAAAAGUUUUGAAUUGUCAAAAUCCUCGCUUGGUCAUUCUAGGUUAAAGUGUUCAUUGAUAACUGCUAUUACAAUAAUGGACAGAGACAACUAAUUAUUUGUCUGUUUUACAAUUUAUAAAUUCUUGUCGGAAUUCUAUAAGGCAUUCAAAACUUUAUGAUUGAAAGCUCAUUUCCCUAAUCACGAUAUAAUAAACAGUCAUGUAAGUAUAAGGUGUGAAAAUAAAUGUUCCUGUCAUAAACAAUAUUACCUACGGGCAAUAUCCCCGUACGUAAUCCUAUUGAUUUUAAAUCCCUAGUAAACCAAACUAUGACACGGUAAUUAAUAAUUUACAGUUAUUUUCCGUGAACAGUGUUAAUCAAUUUUAGAAAGUAAAUUAUCACUGAUAUUCGAU